AGGGAGCACCGGAUCCUGGGCUGUGUCCCCCAGUGCCCUGAGCUCUGGGGCCUGCGCUGCUGGAAUGGUGCUCCCAGGCGCAGCUCCCU
Molecule: microRNA precursor, 89 nt
Filed under: Canis lupus familiaris (dog)
Lineage: Eukaryota; Metazoa; Chordata; Mammalia; Carnivora; Canidae
Also listed under: 1 other name
Description: mir-8799 microRNA precursor family
Rfam family: mir-8799 microRNA precursor family
Source: Rfam by way of RNAcentral